This 1527-nucleotide long non-coding RNA is filed under the name Homo sapiens (human). RNAcentral describes it as "LY6E divergent transcript". Lineage: Eukaryota; Metazoa; Chordata; Mammalia; Primates; Hominidae. The record is from RNAcentral.
GAGCCCGCGGUGGGGGUCCCCGCGCCGCCCAGGCCUACCCCGGCUCCUUGGGAUAGAUGGGGAAGCUGAGGCCCAGAAGGGGGCUGAGACCACCUCCCAGUUUCCCCAGUGAGGUGGCGCCUGAGCCACGGCCAGGCCCGGCCUCCUUCCACCCGGCCCUGCUGUGCGCGCGGCGGGUGCUGACCUGGCGAGGCCGGACAGGGGACCAGGUCGGGGUGACCGUCACUGACACCUGGACAGUCCUCGUUGUGUUCGGGGUGGGAAGCCCACGGAAGACAUCAACACAGGAGACUCCCAAGACUGCUGGGGCCAAAUGUGGCAGGUGGACGUCUCCCCGCCACCGAGCAAGCCAUCAGUUCUGCAGCGGACACCAGCCGAGUGUCCUCCAACACCAUUCCGGACAUAAUUGGAGACACUGGUUAUUUUACCAAAGCUUUGACCGGAAGGAUGUACUUUUGGAUACAAACAGACUGCUUUAAGGAGUCAAAGCUGACUUAUGAAGUUGGCCUCAUCCCUUGUCUACACAGUCACUGUACAGAGUUCCUUGCCUGUAGUAUGUAAAGAAUGUCACUUUCUGACAGGCUCAGGAGCCCCAAAUUAUCCUGGGACCUUGAGGAGAGGACAUUGCCCAAUUUAUAUAGGUAUUUUCAGGCACCAAUAAAUCAUGGCUGGGCUCAAGGCUUUAAAAAAAGUCAAAUCUGGGAUUCGUUAUAGAAUAAAGUUCCAGCAAAGCCAAUUUUAAGACAGGCCUAUAUGGCAAAUAAUUAUUCGUGCUGACAUUAUGCAAACACUCAGGCCAAGUAUAAGAUGAAAAAUUAUUUUAAAUAAAUUUGUCCUACUAUGAUUUGUCUUCAGUAAAAACAGGUACUGGGCUGGGCAUGGUGGCUCACAGCUGUAAUCCCAGCACACUGGGAGGCCAAGGCAGGCAGAUCGCUUGAGGUCAGGAGUUUGAGACCAGCCUGGCCAACAUGGUGGUGAAACACCAUCUCUACCAAAAAAUAUAAAAAUUAGCCAGGUGUGGUGGCAUGUGUCUGUAAUCCUAGCUACCCAGGAGGCUGAGGCAUGAGAAUUGCUUGAACCCAGGAGGUGGAGCUUGCCUGAGUCCUGGUAAGGCACAGACAGAAAGGGUUGUCAGCCAUUUUUUUCUGAGGUUAUAAGAUCUGCAACUUCCCCAGUUAUUCCUGCAGAUAACACCACUAUUGUAGAUUGGCUUUUUGAGAAAUCUUUUCCAGUGUUUGUGCAUGACCGUGGCUCCACCUGGACCCACCUGGACCUGCCAAUCCCACUCGUGUGACCCCACCCAGAAGUGACUCAGUCCUUAGGACUCAGCGUUGACCCCCUGUGAUUUCAUCUCUGCUCUAAGCAAUCAGCAGCAAGCACCUAUUACCUGGCCUCCCCAACUCCUUCCCCUAAAACUGUCUUUGAACAACCCCUAACCUGUGAGUUUUGCAUGAGGUUGUUUGAGUGCUAACUCCAUCUCUGUAGCGUGGCCAGCCUUUUGUCUAUUAAACUCUUUCCUUAUUGCAA